GCUCUCGUGGCGGAACGGAAGACGCGCUAGGUCGAGAACCUAGUCUUUUACAGGUUCAAAUCCUGUCGGGAGUA
RNAcentral lists this transfer RNA (74 nucleotides) under Microcoleus sp. FACHB-672. Its description in RNAcentral is "tRNA-Leu". It matches the Rfam family "tRNA". Rfam says of the family: Transfer RNA (tRNA) molecules are approximately 80 nucleotides in length. Lineage: Bacteria; Bacillati; Cyanobacteriota; Cyanophyceae; Oscillatoriales; Microcoleaceae. The record is from RNAcentral.